Molecule: small nuclear RNA, 164 nt
Filed under: Macaca nemestrina (pig-tailed macaque)
Lineage: Eukaryota; Metazoa; Chordata; Mammalia; Primates; Cercopithecidae
Description: U1 spliceosomal RNA (ENSMNEG00000028355.1)
Rfam family: U1 spliceosomal RNA
About the family: U1 is a small nuclear RNA (snRNA) component of the spliceosome (involved in pre-mRNA splicing).
Source: Rfam by way of RNAcentral
AUACUUACCUGGCAGGCGAGAUACCAUGAUCAUGAAGGUGAUUUUCCCAGGGCGAGGCUUAUCCAUUGCACUCCAGAUGUGCUGACCCCUGCGAUUUCCCCAAAUGUGGGAAACUCGACUGCAUAAUUUGUGGUAGUGGGGGACUGCAUUCAUGCUUUCCUCUG